RNAcentral lists this ribosomal RNA (301 nucleotides) under uncultured bacterium. RNAcentral describes it as "partial 16S ribosomal RNA". It matches the Rfam family "Bacterial small subunit ribosomal RNA", at positions 509 to 807 of the family's 1533-position model. The record is from RNAcentral.
CAGCAGCCACGGGAAUACGUAGGUGGCAAGCGUUGUCCGGAAUUAUUGGGCGUAAAGGGCUCGCAGGCGGUUUCUUAAGUCUGAUGUGAAAGCCCCCGGCUCAACCGGGGAGGGUCAUUGGAAACUGGGAAACUUGAGUGCAGAAGAGGAGAGUGGAAUUCCACGUGUAGCGGUGAAAUGCGUAGAGAUGUGGAGGAACACCAGUGGCGAAGGCGACUCUCUGGUCUGUAACUGACGCUGAGGAGCGGAAGCGUGGGGAGCGAACAGGAUUAGAUACCCCCGUAGUCCCUGUCUCUUAUAC